UCUUAUCUAGAGAAAUGGAGGGAAAGGCCUGAUGAAGUUUCAGCAACCAGCAAUGAUGCAAGGUGCUAAGUCCUACAGAGUAAUGCUCUGACAGAUAAGA
Molecule: non-coding RNA, 100 nt
Filed under: uncultured Cellulosilyticum sp.
Lineage: Bacteria; Bacillati; Bacillota; Clostridia; Lachnospirales; Cellulosilyticaceae
Description: SAM riboswitch (S box leader)
Rfam family: SAM riboswitch aptamer (S box leader)
About the family: The SAM riboswitch is found upstream of a number of genes which code for proteins involved in methionine or cysteine biosynthesis in Gram-positive bacteria. The SAM riboswitch acts at the level of transcription termination control.
Source: RNAcentral